ACCUUUUGUUUGACCAUAUUCCUUGCAUAAAGCCUCUGCCUUGGAGUAAUCUACAAGAAUAAACAAAAGUACAGAGGAAACCACUUACUAAUCUUUCACAUGUCACUUACAGUUGGAUAACAACAGGAAGCCUGGGAAUCAUUUUAUUCCCAACUUUACAUCUAUUUGCUCCUGGAUUAAAACCAAACAGCUGAGAGAUAUGUGCCUGGUAACCAAAUUCAAAUGAGAAAAUGCCAAAGAAACAACAAAAUUAUGGGGCCACAAAACCAAGGAACACCAUCAGCUCCCGAAAACCACACAGAAGCAAGUUGUAGCACUCAACUGCUCAUUGUGGCCAAUCCUGCUGUGGAGCAAAAUGGAGCAUCAGCACUCUGAAAGCCCUAUCCGCUUCUUUGAUGGUGCUGAAAACUGAUCCAAUGAGGAGCACAGCUGUGGAGACCAUGAAGGUACCAGAUUGAAUCUCAAAUUUCUGCCAAAUGAGCUGGUCUCAGGAGGAUUGCAGCAAGACUGCUAUAAAAAAACUUCAAUACUCCAAGAUACAGAAGGAAUACGCAGCCCAGUCUGUCAUUACUGGCAUAUAAUGAGAGACAAAGAAUAAAUUACUAACCUCUUCCAUUGUACGCAAAAGACUCUGUCAGCAUGCAAUUGGAUCAGUUUCAAUAUCAGUACUAUAAUGACAUAAUGAGCUCUGUCUAACAAUGUCCAACAUCUCUUCAAUUACAAAUGCAUGCAAAACACACUGGGAGAGGGGAAGAUAAUAUUUUGAUCCAGGAUUUAGUUCAUAAAAUCCAAGAAAUAAUAAAAUUGAAGUUAGUCUCCCUCAUGUGCUCAAUGGAUGUUCUCAUUGCA
Long non-coding RNA from Chiloscyllium plagiosum (whitespotted bambooshark), 849 nucleotides. RefSeq lists it as uncharacterized. The record is from RefSeq and is a predicted model, not a curated record. NCBI's taxonomy places the organism in Eukaryota, Metazoa, Chordata, Chondrichthyes, Orectolobiformes, Hemiscylliidae.